GAAUGAGAGGGCCAUCUGGCUGGAGCAUCUGUUACUGAACUGGUUGCCAGGAUUGUUUCUACUGAUCUGACUGGCUAAGUGGGCAUCCCUUUCUUUUUAUGUCAUUCCCUCCCAAAGCCUAUGGACAAAAUGACCAAGAGUAUAUGAAUCUUGAUGCUUGCUUGCUGGAAACUCAAAACAAGCUCUUUUCUCAAGGGGCCACCACAGUAAUGCUUUUUAUGCCCUACCACUUAUAGAGGUAGAGAGUAGGUCUCAAUCCAUUCUGGGAUGGAAU
Non-coding RNA from Myotis lucifugus (little brown bat), 274 nucleotides. The record is from Rfam. Lineage: Eukaryota; Metazoa; Chordata; Mammalia; Chiroptera; Vespertilionidae.